CCUGACUGAGCUCUGCUUUCUC
Molecule: microRNA, 22 nt
Filed under: Gallus gallus (chicken)
Lineage: Eukaryota; Metazoa; Chordata; Aves; Galliformes; Phasianidae
Description: gga-miR-7460-3p
Source: miRBase by way of RNAcentral